GCCCCGAGAUGAGUUCUCCCAGUCUAAGAGACUGUAAGGGUUGUUGAAGACGACGACGUAGAUAGGUGGGGUGUGUAAGCGGUGUGAGCCGUUGAGCUAACCCAUACUAAUUGCCCGAGAGGCUUAACUAUACAACGCUGAAGGGUUUU
RNAcentral lists this ribosomal RNA (149 nucleotides) under Gallibacterium anatis str. Avicor. RNAcentral describes it as "partial 23S ribosomal RNA". The stretch from base 1 to 131 matches the Rfam family "Bacterial large subunit ribosomal RNA", at positions 2796 to 2925 of the family's 2925-position model. Lineage: Bacteria; Pseudomonadati; Pseudomonadota; Gammaproteobacteria; Pasteurellales; Pasteurellaceae. The record is from RNAcentral.